CACUGAUUUUUUGUUUUUUUUUUCACCUGCAGAUUGAUGCAGAAAAGCCUGUAGAAGAGGUUUUUGAAGCCGUGAAAUCAGUUUUCACCCCAUUGCAUGAGAAGGUUGCCUAGGUGUUGCUACCCUACCUGAGAUAUCAAACCAGAUCUAAAUUGAGGUAAAAAAUGAUCAAUAGGUUUGUGAAAUCUGUUUAAUUUUUUCAUUACAACAUUGUUUGUCUUGUUAAUAUUUGAAAAUUUUGAAUGUUUGGAAGUAUUUUCUCUUGCACUUGUAAGGAUUACUGUUGUUGAAACUUUGAACAUGAACACUAGCUUUUCUCGAGUUCUUUCAAAAUAUUAUCAUUCUAGCUAUUAUUUUAUGGUAGACAAUUUUAAAUGUUUGAACUGUUAUUGGCAGCCCUUAUUUUAACUUAUUAUGUGCUAGUCCUAGUAGACACAUUUGAAAUGCAGUGGUAGAUAUAUUUUGUUAUUUAACCACCCUUCCUGGGCCAAAAUUGCAUAAAAAAUUAUUUUAGUAAAACCUAUAAAACAUUCCUUUUUUUUUUUUUUGUGAAAGGGGGUGGUGAUAACACAUUCCUUAUGCUAGGAGCAUUACUGUUUUGCUAAACUACUUUUCUGCAUGGUGAAGUAUUAAAGACUCACUUGAAUUAUUCAGAAAUCAUAAUGCAAGGUUUCAUCAUCUUAAAAUUUAGGGUUAUUUACACGAAGACCCCCUAAACUAUUGAGAAGUAUUAUUUUGACCCCCUAAACUAUAAAAGUAUACAAAUGUACCCCCGAAACUAUUGACGUGUUUCACUUUGACACCAUCCGUUACUGCAUUGACAUUUUUUAGACGAAACUUCUCAAUUUUUCUCAUUUUUCUGUUUUGUUAUUGUUUUUUUUAAAUAUUCUUUUUUCAAAAAUAUAUUUACAAAGAAUAUUUAAAAAAA
Non-coding RNA from Camellia sinensis, 928 nucleotides. The record is from RefSeq and is a predicted model, not a curated record. NCBI's taxonomy places the organism in Eukaryota, Viridiplantae, Streptophyta, Magnoliopsida, Ericales, Theaceae.